UAGGGAAUUUUGGGCAAUGGGCGAAAGCCUGACCCAGCAACGCCGCGUGAAGGAUGAAGUAUUUCGGUAUGUAAACUUCGAAAGAAUAGGAAGAAUAAAUGACGGUACUAUUUAUAAGGUCCGGCUAACUACGUGCCAGCAGCCGCGGUAAUACGUAGGGACCAAGCGUUGUUCGGAUUUACUGGGCGUAAAGGGCGCGUAGGCGGCAAUUCAAGUCAUCUGUGAAAUCUCCGGGCUUAACUCGGAACGGUCAGAUGAUACUGCUUUGCUAGAGUGCAGAAGGGGCAAUCGGAAUUCUUGGUGUAGCGGUGAAAUGCGUAGAUAUCAAGAGGAACACCUGAGGUGAAGACGGGUUGCUGGGCUGACACUGACGCUGAGGCGCGAAAGCCAGGGGAGCAAACGGGAUUAGAUACCCAUGUAGUCCCUGAGCGGGCUGGCAAGGCGCAU
RNAcentral lists this ribosomal RNA (447 nucleotides) under uncultured bacterium. Its description in RNAcentral is "bacterial SSU rRNA". It matches the Rfam family "Bacterial small subunit ribosomal RNA", at positions 355 to 825 of the family's 1533-position model. The record is from RNAcentral.